Molecule: long non-coding RNA, 343 nt
Filed under: Setaria italica (foxtail millet)
Lineage: Eukaryota; Viridiplantae; Streptophyta; Magnoliopsida; Poales; Poaceae
Description: long non-coding RNA (SITA_LNC002521)
Source: RNAcentral
GGAAGGAACCCUUCACUCCCAUCAGGAAGUGUCACAAAUGUCCCAGCUCUUGUUGUACUUUUCACAGUGCCCUUCAGAGAUUGCCCUGGUGCAUAUUUUGACUCGCCUGUUGCCUUGGCUUCCUGUCUUUCCUUUGUUUGCCUAGGUGAGCUUCUGGGGGUCGCAGUGGCACUCCGCCCAUUACUUUCAGCCUUAGGUGCUUCCUUUUUCGGCUUGACAUAGUCAUCACCUUCCCUCAUGGUCAAAGAGAUGCGCCCCGUUUCCUUAUUUGCUUCAAGCAAUCUGACCGACACCUCUUGUCCAACAGUGAAGAGGGAAGAUAUAUCUUUUACAAACCCGUCAC